UACAGAGGGGGCAAGCGUUAUUCGGAAUUAUUGGGCGUAAAGGGCGCGUAGGCGGCCUUGUAAGUCUUGGGUGAAAUCCCUCAGCUCAACUGAGGAACUGCCUCGGAUACUGCAAGGCUUGAGGCCGGGAGAGGGUAGUGGAAUUCCCAGUGUAGCGGUGAAAUGCGUAGAUAUUGGGAGGAACACCGGUGGCGAAGGCGGCUACCUGGACCGGUUCUGACGCUGAUGCGCGAAAGCGUGGGUAGCAAACAGG
RNAcentral lists this ribosomal RNA (253 nucleotides) under uncultured bacterium. Its description in RNAcentral is "partial 16S ribosomal RNA". It matches the Rfam family "Bacterial small subunit ribosomal RNA", at positions 524 to 776 of the family's 1533-position model. The record is from RNAcentral.